This 148-nucleotide unclassified non-coding RNA is filed under the name uncultured Helotiales. RNAcentral describes it as "sequence contains ITS2". Lineage: Eukaryota; Fungi; Ascomycota; Leotiomycetes; Helotiales. The record is from RNAcentral.
CAACCCUCAAGCCUAGCUUGGUCUUGGGCUCUGCCGGCAACGGCUGGCCUUAAAAUCAGUGGCGGUGCCAUCGAGCUCAACGCGUAGUAAUUAAACCCUCGCGUGUGAGUCUUGGUGAGUGCUUGCCAGCAACCCCCAAUUUCUAUGG